Scophthalmus maximus (turbot) is the source of this 2497-nucleotide long non-coding RNA. RefSeq lists it as uncharacterized. The transcript is spliced from 3 exons. The record is from RefSeq and is a predicted model, not a curated record. Lineage: Eukaryota; Metazoa; Chordata; Actinopteri; Pleuronectiformes; Scophthalmidae.
CACUAUCGGCCAACUUCCCAAAGCCCAUCUGUUAUUCAUUGUCAUUGGAGCGGCUCACAUACUGGUGCACUCUCACUUUUAGCUCUGAGAGGCUGCUCCACACUGACACAUCUUAACUAAACCAGCAUUCAGAGUUAAAAAAAAAAAAGGUGCAUUUGAUUUAGCAUUUGAUUAAGCAUUCAAGGGAUUUCCCUUCUAUUACUGUGAAGCUGUAAAAGUCUGGCAUUACCUUCAUGCGGGGGUGGUAUCAGAGUUGAAUUGUUAAGAAAUGGCAUGUCACAUACAUGUCGUAACCUUUAUGUUGUAUUAAUGGCCUUAUAUGACCCAAUGAUUCUUUCACCACAUCCUGUGUAUGGAAAAAAUGAGCAGAUAUCUUACCGAUGUCUGACCUGACCAGUCCAGCUUGCCCUUCCGACAGCCACACUGCAGCCAUGGGUCUGACCGGAAACGUAUGUGUGAGUAGAAAUGUCCGACCUGGACCCUGACGGGAGCGGUCCGUCUCCUCCUCAACGAGAGAAGUCAUCACCACAUCAACAGCAGGGCGGAUGCUCUUCGUCACCAUCCUCCUCCUCGACCUCUCACUGACAUCUGACCGUAAGCAGCGGAUGCGGCCGGCGCUCGGCUGCAGGCGGCCCCCUCAAUGGUCUCUCCCACCAUGAAGGCGGUGGUGGAUGCCGUAUGGGCGGUGUGGAGCAUCGGGGCCUCCAUCUAUGACUACAUCCACACCAACGCCAUGGAGGAGCGCAUCCACGCCCUGGAGGACGUCAUCACCGUCCACCAGUGUGUGAUCGUGCUGCUGUCCGCAGGCGUACUGACCCUCUUCACUUACAUCCUCUUCAAGAAGCUCUGAAGAGGUGUGGACGGGGGCGGACAAGCGACAGGUUGUACGACCGGAACCAGACAUUGGCGUUGAACAUGUUCGAGCAAACACUGAUGAGACAGACAAAGGGGAAUUUUACACUUAAGAUACAUUCGAUGAGCUCAUAAGAGCUGGAAGGUACACAUCGUUUCCAAGGGAGGAGACCACACAUAGUGGUCCUCGUCUUUGUUCAGACAAGGAGACCAUAAAACGAUCAAAAGAUAUAGUCAAUCUCUUCUAAAAACAACAUCACAGCUGUGCCACCCUUCUCAUAAAUCUGUUAUUGGGGCAAAUACUGAGGCUCAUGUCCUCUGUGCGUUGGUUGUGGACGAGCAUGUGGGGCUACAGGGUCCAACUAUUUUUUUUAAAGGCCAGUUUAAAUAAAUAAAUUUAUACCAUCAUCAUCAUGGGACAUUGUGACACACACUUAAAUAUUCUUUCAGGUUCAGUAUCUCAUAGUAAAAAAAAUGUGAGGUAAUAUACUUUUACUACUACUUUAUCAGCAGAAAACAUCAUCUGGCUAAUUUGCAAUACUUUGAAUAGCUUAAGCAGCUCAGCAUAAAACUCAUCACAUCCCCCCUUCACACACACAGGUAUACCAGUGAGUGAACUAUUCAAUAACACUUCCAUAGAGAAAAUGGCCGCUGACAAUGUGUGUCCAUGAUCCUUGACAACAUAAUUCCAUCAUUUCCUAAAGGGAUCACAAUUGAAAAGAAUCAUGUGCCAGAACAAUUUCUGCCUUCAAGUACAUUCGGUUUUUUAUCGUUGUUUUUGCAUGUUUGAGUGUGUGCAACAGGCGACUGGAGAGGAGUAUAAUUUCAAUUAAUUCAUCUCAUAUUCCCCCAAAUAAGCCAUUUGGUUCUCAAAUGUCUUGAUAGCAUUUUCUAUGUCUCCUAGAAGAUUUCACACUGAGUGUCAGAUGAGAGCGAAACACCUCCUAUAAUCCCUUAUUCUAUCGGUCUACAUGUGUGUUAUCUUUAUUAUUAGACUUUUUAUUCAGUCCAACAUCAUGGUCCAUUUUUACAGCAUAAUGCUUUUCCAUUCAAACCCCAUAGUUUUUACAUUGCUGUUGCGGAAGUCCUGUAGAAAAUACAACAAUAUGAAGUGUCCUUAAAAACUGUAAAUAUAUUUAGAUGAUUACAAGCAGUGGGGUUUUUUUGUGCAACUAAUCUAGAGUACUAAUGCUGCUUAUUAUUUAUUUAACAUUAUGUACAAUGUAUCAAAGUGAUGUUUAAAUGAGAUGAUAAUAGGCACUGGCUGCAAACACUGGAUCAAUGUGUUUUGUGUGAAAUUAAGUUUUUGCAGGAUAAAAGAUGUUUUUGUUGUUUUGAAUUGAAUUCGCUUCUCUAACCUACUGAGAGAACUUUAAAGACAUCGUGGGUCAUAGGAAACUACUGCCAUCAGAGUCCUGAUUUUGGUGUAUAUCUGUGUAUGUUUGUUACUGUUACACAACAAGAGAACAUCCAAGGAUGAAAACUUUUAAUAUAAUUUUAACAAGUCUUCUCAAAAUGCCAAAUGAACGAGGAAUUCUUGCAAUUAAACUGCACGUGUCUGACAUCAGUCUGACACGUUGUUGUGUACAAAAAUGAAAAGUUGGUACAAUUUGUGGAUUACAGCUAUAAAAUACUCACAGCUGAA